GAGUGAGGGUGUGUGUGGGGGAGGUCCUCCCAUACACACACCCUCACUCCCAUCCAUACACUCACCCUCUCUCACACACCCAACCUCCCACCUUUAAUGUGUGUGGAUGGGACUAAGGUUUUCUCAUUUCUUUCAGAUUGUGCGCCUCCGAGGUGAAAGUCUGACUGAAGUGAACGUGUGGCUGGUCGAGAACUCCUCCAAACAGGUAAAGUACUUAUGACAAUAUAUAAUGUCUAUAUGCAAGUAUUUAUGAAUGUUAUGUUUUAAAGUUUUUUGUAUUCCAGGUUUGUUUGUGUGGCUGACUGGACCUACUACAAGGUGCUUCUUGCAGGUAAUAAAGAUACAUCAGUGAUGGUGAGGCCGUCACAUUAUCAGCGGUUGUGGAUUUCUCAAUUCAACCUUUAUAUUGCAGACUCCACAUAAGGUAAAACACUUCCAUUCAGCAAUUGGUGUGCAGUGUCCAGAUUGUCAACAUUUAGUUCAGUAUGAUGUUACUUCUGGCCAGCUUAACCUGAGGAGAAAGUCAGUACAGUACACGAUUAGAUUUUGAAAAGGAAACUGCAAAAUCUCAUGGUGUUGUCCCGACCUCCGUAAAGUGUCAUUAAUGCAAGAACGAAUGUAAGUGUCGUCAAGACCAACACAUGUGGUAACUCCAACGAGAACCAGGCCAAUAAGGUAAGAAAUAAGGGAUUCCAACAUAUGGCGAGAGUCGGUUAGAUUAGGUCCGGUUUAUGUUUUUAUAGGGUUUUUUUUUUUUGCAUUUUU
This 765-nucleotide long non-coding RNA is filed under the name Homarus americanus (American lobster). RNAcentral's name for it is "uncharacterized LOC121868149, transcript variant X3". Lineage: Eukaryota; Metazoa; Arthropoda; Malacostraca; Decapoda; Nephropidae. The record is from RNAcentral.